This is a non-coding RNA of Acanthosepion pharaonis, 111 nucleotides long. The record is from the annotation of a GenBank genome assembly. NCBI's taxonomy places the organism in Eukaryota, Metazoa, Mollusca, Cephalopoda, Sepiida, Sepiidae.
GCCGAUCAUAUCAUAUUGAAACACUAGUUCUUGUAUGAUCACAGAAGUUAAGCAGCAUCGAGCCUGGUCAGUACCUAGAUGGGUGACCACAUAAGAAUACCAGAUGAUGUA